UACGGGGGGGGCAAGCGUUGUCCGGAAUUAUUGGGCGUAAAGAGCUCGUAGGCGGUUUGUUGCGUCGGCUGUGAAAUCCCGAGGCUCAACCUCGGGUCUGCAGUCGAUACGAGCAAACUAGAGUGUUGCAGGGGAGACUGGAAUUCCUGGUGUAGCGGUGAAAUGCGUAGAUAUCAAGAGGAACACCUGCGGCGAAGGCGGGUCUCUGGGCAGUAACUGACGCUGAGGAGCGAAAGCGUGGGGAGCGAACAGG
Molecule: ribosomal RNA, 253 nt
Filed under: uncultured bacterium
Lineage: Bacteria
Description: partial 16S ribosomal RNA
Rfam family: Bacterial small subunit ribosomal RNA
Source: RNAcentral